Molecule: long non-coding RNA, 1290 nt
Filed under: Homo sapiens (human)
Lineage: Eukaryota; Metazoa; Chordata; Mammalia; Primates; Hominidae
Description: HSALNT0402860
Source: RNAcentral
AGGGGAUACCAGUGUGUACCUACCAUUGAAAUCAAUUGUUUUCAAGUCUUUUUAGGUCUUAUUCUCAGACGGUCUUGGGUAAAUGGUGGCUGAUUGCCUUCAGCAUCUAGAACAAAACACUCUAUGGCCCAGAGGAAUUCCAGCUGGAAUCUAUGAUCUUAUUCUCUUGAGGAAUGGACCACGCAGUAUCCUUCAAGGAAGAAUCAAGAAUGUUUCCACAGAGAAUAUACAUAUUUCAUCUCUUUCUCUGCUGAAUGGAUCCCCACUGAAAGCCAUGAAUUACUCUCAUUAGACCCUGUAGAAUCCCAGUUUAUGGCAGUGACAUUAAAAACAUCUAGUUUAUGACUUGGAUUAGGCAGCCUGUAAAAUGGCUUCCAGUGAUCCCUGCUUUCUGGUAUGUAUGCCUUUGUAUAAUACCCUCCUCAUGAGUGUAGGCAGAGGUAACAUCACUUUUGAAACUAGGUUAUAUAUAUUAAAACAAACAAACAAACCUGUGGCUUCCAUUUUGGGUACUUUAUCUCACACUCUGAUUUCUUGCUCCGUGGGAAACAGACUGUAAUAUUGUAAGCAGUGCUAUGGAGAGGUCCAUGUGGUAAGGAAGUGAUAGGUCCUGAUAACAGCCAGUGAGGAUCUAAGGUGGAUCCCUUUCUGAGUUGAAUAUUGAGAUAGAUGACUACAGCUCUGGGCUACACCUUGAUUGCACCUCAUGAGGAAUUCUGACCAAAAACACUGUGCUGAACCAUGUCCAGGCUCCUGAGCCACAUAAACUAUGAGAAAACAAAUAUUUGUUUCAAGCCAUUAAGUUUUAAUUUGUUACACAGCAAUAGAUAACUACCACAUGGAAGGAUUCAAUAAGAGAAGGGUUUUUCAUAAGUGAAAUGUUAUUUUCAUCUCACAUUUCAAUUAUUAGAAUAUAAAUGAAAGAAAAUAAAUUUGGAUAGGCUCUCAUAAAUUCAAUGAUAAGAAUUUGGAAAAUGCAACCACAUGAAAACCAGGAAGUAAAAGGAAAACAUAAGCGACAUCUUCCCAGAUGAGAGUAAAUAUCUGGUUCCCUGAGAAGUGUAGUUUGAGAAUGGAGAAAUCAGAUGUUACUGGAAAGAGGCUAGGACUGUAUUAUUUCUUGCUUCCUGUCAAGUCUUUUCAACUCAAGAGAAAGUAAAUUUUCUUGACAAACCAUUCAAAAUUAAAGGAUAGGUGGGAGUAUAUGUGUCCCUGAAGGAACAAGUGACCUUCACUGAAAGCAGCAGCUUGGUUGAAUAAAUACUGUACAGAAGUGGAAUAAAGAGUAGC